AGUAAUGUGAAUUGCAGAAUUCAGUGAAUCAUCGAAUCUUUGAACGCAUCUUGCGCCCUUUGGUAUUCCGAAGGGCAUGCCUGUUUGAGUGUCAUGAAAUUUUCAACCUCUGAAAUUUUUAUAAUUGAAGAGGCUUGGACUUGGAGGUUGUGCUGGCUUUUUUUAAAGUACGGCUCCUCUUAAAUAUAUUAGUGCGAAACUUAUGGAUCGCUCUUCCCUGUGAUAAUUAUCGACGCUGUGGGUGUGAAGUAUUUUUAAUAUUUCGUGCUUCUAAUAGUCCUUUAUAAGGACAGACAUAAACUUUGACAUCUGACCUCAAAUCAGGUAGGACUACCCGCUGAACUUAAGCAUAUCAAUAAGCGGAGGAA
Molecule: ribosomal RNA, 368 nt
Filed under: uncultured organism
Description: eukaryotic LSU rRNA
Rfam family: 5.8S ribosomal RNA (bases 1-94)
Source: RNAcentral